CCUGUGGUUGGAAUUAUUUGGUCGAGAUCAUGUUGCUAAAGAAAUCUUUAGAUCUCAUGAAUGCAUAAGAACAUCAAGUUCCUUCCAGAAUAAAGAUCACAGAAGGACUUUGUGCAAAAACAAGUACAGUCCUACUGUAGCAGCAGUAUUUUACUUGACAUGACCAGUGCAGAAGAGUACUAAGAGUCCCAGUGAUGGAGCCACAGUUUUUCUGAAUCCGGACUUGUUUGGAUGUUUUGAUAGAGAAAAUGAAAUUGUCACAUGGUUGCUGAUUACAUAGUGAGUGAAUUGUUUCUAACUACGUGUGCUCGGGGAGAUAGACUCAGCAGCUGGGAAAUCCCCAGCAUGUGACUGGUACAGCUGUGUCUGAUAGCCUGAUUAAGCCUUACUGCGGACCUGAGGAUUUCACCGGGUUGCAUCUGUACCUGUGGGUGUCUGCCUGUUGCAGCAUUCAAGAAACUGCCAAAUGUCUUUCAGUUUGCAUCAGCUUUUGAGUGCCUGAGCUCCUUGAGCUGUGCUAAUCUUUUGCUGAUAAAGCAAUGAGGAAAUAGAGUCCCAAGUGCAGGGAGGAAGAAUUUUUCUCUUCAAGGGUGACUAUGGUAUCUUGAAGUCAUCUGCAUAGGUGCCAUGCUGCUAAAGGGCAUAAAUAAAUGCUUAGGAAAAGCAGAAGCUGGGACUUCUGCUUUUCUUCAGGCUAUUUUUAUGCUUAUCCAUCUGCAUCUUGUUCCUGUGUUUUCUCCCCCUGUGGCAUCUUGUCAGCAAUCGGGAUGGAAUAGGUGUAGAAAGAGAGAAACUCUGGAGAAACCAAGUACCAACUUCAGUCAACAUCACUUCACCCCCCAACAGAGCCUUAAUCUGAAGGACUUUCCAUCUCCAGAGUACAGCAAUUAGGUAAGAUUUAAUGAUUUUUAUGAGCCCAGAAAGAUGACAAGGUGUCAUUGUGUAAAGGAAAAAUCUGCAUUCAGGCUGGAGUUGUGCAAUUACGCUGUUAACUCUUGGGGGGGGGGGGGAGGAAAUCAUUAAGGAAGGAGCCACUGCUGACUAGUGAUUACAGCUCAGAGUAAUCCAGGUUUGCUUGUUCAACCACGAGCACUCAUUGCCCAGUGGCCAUCAGGACAGAUCACUGCUUUAUUACCAAGUUUUUAUCUGACAAGACCAAGUCAUUGCUACAGUGUUCUUCCAGCAUCUAACAGACUGGUUCUUAAAAUGGACGCUAUUUUUUUGGUCUGCCGUCUGACUGUUGGUAAUGUGGCUUUUUUCUAAGACCAGGCAAAAAGCUUGGGAUUUGCCUUUACACACUUCAAAGCAAUGCUUUGCACACUCUUCUGUGCCUGUGCCCUGCACUACAUUGCCAUUUGCCUGGGUAGCUCACUUUGGAUUUAACACGGCUUUCUGAUGUGCCAGUUUUUGAGACACUAAAGCAUUGCUUAAACAUGUGCAUUGUCUACCACCACACCAGGCCCUGGUGUUAGCUAACAAUGUUAGUUCAAUUAAACAUCCCUCCCCAGUCUGGUCAAGGCAUGAGACCUGCUGACAACUGAUCUGCUGCUGUUAACAGUGCUUGAAAUGACACUGUGCAUCUCAGGUCAGUGCCAUGGACCUGCGUAACUCAGCUGUGAGUAAUGCUCACCAACAGCUGAUAAUUGAUCACUUACAAGCAUGUGACAUGUUAAUGAAGCCAAUAGUCCUCACUUACAUUGUUAGCGGAGAGAAUAUAAUCAUAGAACCAUUCAGGUUGGAAAAGACCUCUAAGAUCAUCUAGUCCAACCCUUUACCAAGUACUAAAGUCCACAACUAAACCAUGCUACUAAAUUCUACAUGUAUAUCUACACAUUUCUUGAAGACCUCCAGGGAUGGUGACUCAACCACUUCCCUGGGCAGCAACAGUUGG
Molecule: long non-coding RNA, 1891 nt
Filed under: Anas platyrhynchos platyrhynchos (common mallard)
Lineage: Eukaryota; Metazoa; Chordata; Aves; Anseriformes; Anatidae
Description: lncRNA (ENSAPLG00000026773.1)
Source: RNAcentral